GGUAUAUAGAAUCCAUAAAUAUGGGAUCGUAUGACAUGAAAAUAAAUUAGUACAAGGAAAUAAAUUUAACUUAAGUAAAUAAAUAAUUAGAAUUUUAAAGAAAAAUCUAGAAGUUGUUGGAUAAAAUUUAAAAGUCAAAGACUUAUCUUCUCUCCCUCAUGAUUUUCGUCCAUGAGCAGCUCCCCUCAACCUCCAUAGCCAAAAACCUUCUUUCCCAUUUAUUUGGCUUGUUCGUCGGCAAAUUGAGGAUUUAAUCGUAUAAAACAUAGCAAAUCAAUAUAAGGCAUAGAAGCUUGUAACACGAGUCGUGCAAAAAUGAAUGGAUCUAGAAGAUAGCGAAGGGUCGAAAGGUGAAAUAGGCUUAUGUUCAUAAGCCUGCGAGGUUAGAGUUGAUAUUAUGUCAGUGGUGUUGCGCAGCUUUGCAUCUUUUGCGAGUCACUGGUGGUCAACUUGGUUUAGUAGUCGUGGCAUGUUGUAUAAUAGUUUAAUCUUUAAUCUUCCGUAGGAUAAAUGUUAAGUUUUUUAAAUGUAAUAGAUUUUAAUUGUGCUUUUAAGCUAAAAAGAAAAAGAAAAAUUUAAGCACGGGGUUUUCGAUACUGAAACGUGACAUCACUUAUUCGGUGGGUACCUACCGGGUAAGGGGUGUUACAAGUUGGUAUCAGAGCCUAGGUUUAGGUAGUUCUGGAUAAAAGUGAGUCAAUAAAGUGUGUAGAAACAUGCCACGUAGGAGUAAAUGUCUGUUAGUACCAGUGACUUGAUGCAGCUGCCUUGGUCUCAAGUUGAAAGAAGUUAGCAAAGUACGGGACAUAAUUUCCCGUGUGACUGAGAAUGAUGUUAUAUGGGACUGGCCACCCCAUAUAGCUCGAAUCUCGGUAGCGUCGGUAUGUGUAAAAAAAUUUAAAAAGUGCAGGGUGGAUAUGUUUGAAAAUGUUGAUGAAAAGUGUGUCUUAAUGAAAUAUACUAAUAAAUAAAUGUAAGUUAUGAAAGAGUAUAAGUAAAAGAGAAGAAAAAGAGUUAAAGGAAGGAUAUGGAAAGAAAGUAAGUUAUAGACUAAGUGACCAUUAUGAUAUAAAGGUGUAACACAAAAAUUCACAAAGGUAUGUGAAUUGUCUGAUAUAAAAUGGAUUAAUAGUCAUAAAGUAAUAUCCUAUAAUGAUAAACAAAAGUAUAGAAAUAUGUGAAAGGAAAUGUGUUUGGCAAAAUGAUAAAUAUUGAAAUGAAAACGUAUGAAACUAUAAGGCAUUAUACGAAUAAAACCAUAAAUGUGUGAUUGAGCAAAUGCGACGAAUAAGAAAUAAGUGAUAUGAUCUGAACACGUGUGCCCCUAUAUGGAUUAUAUGUGUAUUCUGAAUCGAACAAUAGGAAAUAUGAUGUGAUGCGAUAAAGAUAUAAGCUAAGUAAGUGUGCAUGAUAUAAGAUAUGUGAUAUAAAAUGUGAUCAGAUUAGAAUGUGAACUCCGUAAGAACUAUGUGUGCGCUCGAAGACGAGCUAAGCGAAUAUGGAAAUUUAAAUGAGGAUUUAGAAAUGAAAUGGAAAAUGAAAAUGGGCACUCUAAGUGAGCUAUAAUAUAUAUGAAAUGAUAUGUCUAAAAAUGUAAGUUUAAAAUGAAAUAAAUAUAUGACUUUGAAAUUGAGCGAUAUGAGGAAAAAGGGUACUAUGCUUGAAAGUAUGGAAUCCAAUGAAUCAUAUGUGUGUUGAAAGAAUGUGAAAUGUAUUGAUGACCAAUAUAUGAUGAAAUUUGAAAAUGAAAUUUGGUAUAUGGUGCGACGGGAGUAUUCGAUGAGCUCAUGCGGGUGUACUUCGCUUAACCCAUAUACAUGUGUGUUAUCACUAAGCACUUGAGACAAAUGAGUGCAAAUAUUUGAGGUGAUCGGUAUGUAUUUCUAUAUAUGAUUAUGUGCGAACUAGCACAUGUGAUAAAAUGUGUUAUAAUAUGUGGACAUAUGAAACGUAUAUGAUAACUGUGAUAUGUGACAUGUGAUUUGAUGUGUCUUGAUAUAUGUGUGACUUGAGAAUUGAAAUGUGAUGAUAUAUGGUCUGAUAUGCCUGGAUAUAUGGUCCAUGUAUUCAGAUCUUGUUAUAUGAGUUUUAUUGAGUUAUGAUACUAGUACUAAGAGUUAGAGAUUUAAUGUUGUGAUGAUGAAUAUUGAGAUGUGAAUGUGUGGAACUAUAUAAUGUUUUGGACGAAGUGAUACAUGUGACUGCGUGCUCUAUAUGGACUAUAUGGUGCUAGAAAGUGAGCUAUAUGCAUAUAAUGUGAUAUGAUGGAAAAUUUGUGCGCUGCAUGAGAUAGAUGAAUGUGCUCGAAACUAAGUCAAAUGAAGUGAAAUAUGAUAUGAUUGAAAGUAACAAAUUCAUAUGAAUUAUAUGCUUGAAACGAACUAUGAGAAAGCGAAAAUGUUUAUGAUCGAUACAUGACGGGAUUCGAAAAUAAACAUGGUUGUUGAUGAAUGUUAACUUGUUAUUUGAACUUUGUUGUGAAUUGUUGGGUUGAUGUGAUAAUCUAUUAUUAAUAUUGUAUCUUGUUGGUUUUUGGGCAUGUAGUAGUUAUAGAGGAAAUGCUGCCCAAAUUUUGACAGAAGUUCAUAAGAUAAAUUAAUACGAAGUUGUGAUAAAUAAAAUGAAAGGAGAGAAUGUAUGAUGUGUUGUGAAUGAUAAUGAAUGGAAACAUAAUGAAAAUAUUAUGAUGAUAUAUGGAAAAUGAAAUGCACCAUUUUUAUGGGCUAUAUGCACCCGAAUAAGGGCUAUAUGGUAUAUGAUGAGUAUGUGAAUUAUACAUUAUGUGAUGAAUAUGAUAUGUACGCCCCAUGUGGGCAAAGAAAGGAUGCAAGUAACAUGGAAAUUUUUAUGUAAAGAAAUGAUAACGUUACAUGAUGGAACCAAUAAUCUCAAUAUUAUAUAUUAGGGUGAAAUAUGAACUUAUGUGGCAUUAUAUGUGAAAGUUGGAUAAUGUGAUUAUAAGUGCGAUUUUGUGACUUGAUGUGGAGAAAUGAGGAUACGCUACGAAUAGGAAAUGACGUAAUGCCAUGAAAUGGCAUAAGUGAAACCCUAACGCUUCUAGGAGAAAGCAAAUUCGAUGGAAUUUCGAGGACGAAAUUCUUUUAGGGGGGAAGAGUUGUAACAUCUCGAAUUAUAGGGCUUGACGAAAGAUUUGGAUAUGUGAUGAGGAAUAGUAGUUAAGUUAAACUAUAAGGUAGAAAUUUAAUACGAAAUGUCGAUUAUGUGAUUUUCGGCAAUCUCUUUUACCCACGUAAAAUCGUAAAUCGAAGCUAAGGGCUAACAAUUUUAUAAAUUAUAAAUUAUGGCCUAGCAUAAUUGUAAAUAAUGUGAGGAUUUAUUUUUGUCCAUUUAAGGGUAAUUGGAAUUUUUAUCGCCGAUUAUUUCGGUUUUUCGCAAAAUCGAUUGUCGAAACAUUUGAGGUGUCGGACGAGAAUAAUUUUAGAUUAAUCUAGGAUUAAUGUGCUACGAGAUGGUAUAUAGAAUCCAUAAAUAUGGGAUCGUAUGACAUGAAAAUAAAUUAGUACAAGGAAAUAAAUUUAACUUAAGUAAAUAAAUAAUUAGAAUUUUAAAGAAAAAUCUAGAAGUUGUUGGAUAAAAUUUAAAAGUCAAAGACUUAUCUUCUCUCCCUCAUGAUUUUCGUCCAUGAGCAGCUCCCCUCAACCUCCAUAGCCAAAAACCUUCUUUCCCAUUUAUUUGGCUUGUUCGUCGGCAAAUUGAGGAUUUAAUCGUAUAAAACAUAGCAAAUCAAUAUAAGGCAUAGAAGCUUGUAACACGAGUCGUGCAAAAAUGAAUGGAUCUAGAAGAUAGCGAAGGGUCGAAAGGUGAAAUAGGCUUAUGUUCAUAAGCCUGCGAGGUUAGAGUUGAUAUUAUGUCAGUGGUGUUGCGCAGCUUUGCAUCUUUUGCGAGUCACUGGUGGUCAAUUUGGUUUAGUUGUCGUGGCAUGUUGUAUAAUAGUUUAAUCUUUAAUCUUCCGCAGGAUAAAUGUUAAGUUUUUUAAAUGUAAUAGAUUUUAAUUGUGCUUUUAAGCUAAAAAGAAAAAGGAAAAUUUAA
Molecule: long non-coding RNA, 4050 nt
Organism: Salvia splendens (bonfire salvia)
Lineage: Eukaryota; Viridiplantae; Streptophyta; Magnoliopsida; Lamiales; Lamiaceae
Exons: 5
Source: RefSeq, a predicted model, not a curated record